UACGUAGGGGGCGAGCGUUGUCCGGAUUUAUUGGGCGUAAAGAGCUCGUAGGCGGUUGCGGAAGUCGGGGGUGAAAUACCGGGGCUCAACUCCGGGGCGCCAUUCGAUACUCCGCUGACUCGAGUCCGGUAGGGGAAGGUGGAAUUCCUGGUGUAGCGGUGAAAUGCACAGAUAUCAGGAGGAACACCGGUGGCGAAGGCGGGUCUCUGGGCCGAUACUGACGCUGAGGUGCGAAAGCGUGGGGAGCAAACAGG
RNAcentral lists this ribosomal RNA (254 nucleotides) under uncultured bacterium. RNAcentral describes it as "partial 16S ribosomal RNA". It matches the Rfam family "Bacterial small subunit ribosomal RNA", at positions 524 to 776 of the family's 1533-position model. The record is from RNAcentral.